AGUCUGCAACCCGACUACAUGAAGCUGGAAUCGCUAGUAAUCGCGAAUCAGAAUGUCGCGGUGAAUACGUUCCCGGGUCUUGUACACACCGCCCGUCACACCAUGGGAGUCGGAAAUGCCCAAAGUCAGUGGCCUAACCGAAAGGGAGGAGCUGCCGAAGGUGGAGCCGGUAACUGGGGUGAAGUCGUAACAAGGUAAC
This 199-nucleotide ribosomal RNA is filed under the name uncultured bacterium. RNAcentral describes it as "partial 16S ribosomal RNA". It matches the Rfam family "Bacterial small subunit ribosomal RNA", at positions 1302 to 1500 of the family's 1533-position model. The record is from RNAcentral.